Molecule: ribosomal RNA, 1928 nt
Filed under: Salmonella enterica subsp. enterica serovar Stanley
Lineage: Bacteria; Pseudomonadati; Pseudomonadota; Gammaproteobacteria; Enterobacterales; Enterobacteriaceae
Description: partial 23S ribosomal RNA
Rfam family: Bacterial large subunit ribosomal RNA
Source: RNAcentral
CCCCGAGGAAAAGAAAUCAACCGAGAUUCCCCCAGUAGCGGCGAGCGAACGGGGAGGAGCCCAGAGCCUGAAUCAGCAUGUGUGUUAGUGGAAGCGUCUGGAAAGUCGCGCGAUACAGGGUGACAGCCCCGUACACAAAAGCGCAUGUGUUGUGAGCUCGAUGAGUAGGGCGGGACACGUGGUAUCCUGUCUGAAUAUGGGGGGACCAUCCUCCAAGGCUAAAUACUCCUGACUGACCGAUAGUGAACCAGUACCGUGAGGGAAAGGCGAAAAGAACCCCGGCGAGGGGAGUGAAAAAGAACCUGAAACCGUGUACGUACAAGCAGUGGGAGCACAGGUUUACCUGUGUGACUGCGUACCUUUUGUAUAAUGGGUCAGCGACUUAUAUUCUGUAGCAAGGUUAACCGUAUAGGGGAGCCGGAGGGAAACCGAGUCUUAAUUGGGCGUUAAGUUGCAGGGUAUAGACCCGAAACCCGGUGAUCUAGCCAUGGGCAGGUUGAAGGUUGGGUAACACUAACUGGAGGACCGAACCGACUAAUGUUGAAAAAUUAGCGGAUGACCUGUGGCUGGGGGUGAAAGGCCAAUCAAACCGGGAGAUAGCUGGUUCUCCCCGAAAGCUAUUUAGGUAGCGCCUCGUGAAUUCAUCUCCGGGGGUAGAGCACUGUUUCGGCUAGGGGGCCAUCCCGGCUUACCAACCCGAUGCAAACUGCGAAUACCGGAGAAUGUUAUCACGGGAGACACACGGCGGGUGCUAACGUCCGUCGUGAAGAGGGAAACAACCCAGACCGCCAGCUAAGGUCCCAAAGUCAUGGUUAAGUGGGAAACGAUGUGGGAAGGCCCAGACAGCCAGGAUGUUGGCUUAGAAGCAGCCAUCAUUUAAAGAAAGCGUAAUAGCUCACUGGUCGAGUCGGCCUGCGCGGAAGAUGUAACGGGGCUAAACCAUGCACCGAAGCUGCGGCAGCGACACUGUGUGUUGUUGGGUAGGGGAGCGUUCUGUAAGCCUGUGAAGGUGUGUCGUGAGGCAUGCUGGAGGUAUCAGAAGUGCGAAUGCUGACAUAAGUAACGAUAAAGCGGGUGAAAAGCCCGCUCGCCGGAAGACCAAGGGUUCCUGUCCAACGUUAAUCGGGGCAGGGUGAGUCGACCCCUAAGGCGAGGCCGAAAGGCGUAGUCGAUGGGAAACGGGUUAAUAUUCCCGUACUUGGUGUUACUGCGAAGGGGGGACGGAGAAGGCUAUGUUGGCCGGGCGACGGUUGUCCCGGUUUAAGCGUGUAGGUGUGUGUUCCAGGUAAAUCCGGUUCACUUUAACACUGAGGCGUGACGACGAGGCACUACGGUGCUGAAGCAACAAAUGCCCUGCUUCCAGGAAAAGCCUCUAAGCAUCAGGUAACAUCAAAUCGUACCCCAAACCGACACAGGUGGUCAGGUAGAGAAUACCAAGGCGCUUGAGAGAACUCGGGUGAAGGAACUAGGCAAAAUGGUGCCGUAACUUCGGGAGAAGGCACGCUGACACGUAGGUGAAGUGAUUUACUCAUGGAGCUGAAGUCAGUCGAAGAUACCAGCUGGCUGCAACUGUUUAUUAAAAACACAGCACUGUGCAAACACGAAAGUGGACGUAUACGGUGUGACGCCUGCCCGGUGCCGGAAGGUUAAUUGAUGGGGUCAGCGCAAGCGAAGCUCCUGAUCGAAGCCCCGGUAAACGGCGGCCGUAACUAUAACGGUCCUAAGGUAGCGAAAUUCCUUGUCGGGUAAGUUCCGACCUGCACGAAUGGCGUAAUGAUGGCCAGGCUGUCUCCACCCGAGACUCAGUGAAAUUGAACUCGCUGUGAAGAUGCAGUGUACCCGCGGCAAGACGGAAAGACCCCGUGAACCUUUACUAUAGCUUGACACUGAACAUUGAGCCUUGAUGUGUAGGAUAGGUGGGAGGCUUU